Molecule: RNA transcript, 859 nt
Organism: Chenopodium quinoa (quinoa)
Lineage: Eukaryota; Viridiplantae; Streptophyta; Magnoliopsida; Caryophyllales; Amaranthaceae
Exons: 5
Source: RefSeq, a predicted model, not a curated record
UGCGUCUUCAACAACAACAAAUUCGAAUCAAUUUCCAACCAAAAAUCAGAAAUUCGAGAUUGCAGGAAUAUAUUCUGAAAACAUCAGAAUUUUGAAGACGGAAUCGUCAAGUGAAUAUGCUCUAUCUCCUGAAGUACUUUCUGAAGCGGUAUCACAUGAUGUUGCUUCUGGUCUCAAACCUCUUUUCUUAUGUGCUACUAGGUGGAAGUGGCAGACAAACUUCUUGAGUUUCGUUCCAAGCAUGAUGGUUUUGUGGAUACAAGUUUUGAUACUAUAAGUGGUUCUGGUCCGAAUGGUGCAAUAAUUCAUUACAAACCAGAACCAGAUAGUUGCAGCAUUGUGGAUCCUGAAAAACUCUUCUUGCUUGACAGUGGAGCACAAUAUAUAGAUGGGACAACAGACAUAACGAGGACGGUUCAUUUUGGUGAAACUACUUCUCGAGAAAAAGAGUGUUUCACUCGUGUUUUACAGCACAGCACAUCAGAGCGCCACCAGCACAGCACCACAGAAGCUCACCAGUACCGCAACACAGAGGACCACGCAGCAGAACCCAGCAAACACAGCAGCCUGACUAGCAAGCAACACAGCACUACAGCAGAGCAGCAAACACCCAGCACUACAACAGAGCAGAACAGAAACACAGCAGCUCAAGCACUCAAACCAGUCACCCAGUCAGCCUGAACAUAACAAAGACACGGCCACAGAAGCAAACAGAUGCCUAGCCAGCAUGAACAAGCAGAGGCACAGCAGCGCAGCUAAAUGGAAACAGCAGAGCAGUUUGGUUAUUUAAUUUUUUUUAGACGAAAAUUAUAAUAUUACAGCCUUUUUUAAUGAAAAUAUGUAACUUUAUUUUUUUUAU